This is a non-coding RNA of Gossypium arboreum, 144 nucleotides long. The record is from Rfam. NCBI's taxonomy places the organism in Eukaryota, Viridiplantae, Streptophyta, Magnoliopsida, Malvales, Malvaceae.
UAUAAAAAUUCAUCCAUUUCUACUAUUAAAAAUUGACGUGGCUGACAAAAUAACCAAACAAUUACAUGUGGUGUGUCACAUGUACCUCAUGCUAACAUAUAGAGACCAAUUUUUAACAGUAAAAAUUGAUGAAUUUUUUUUACA